This 440-nucleotide ribosomal RNA is filed under the name uncultured bacterium. RNAcentral's name for it is "partial 16S ribosomal RNA". It matches the Rfam family "Bacterial small subunit ribosomal RNA", at positions 338 to 795 of the family's 1533-position model. The record is from RNAcentral.
CCUACGGGUGGCAGCAGUGGGGAAUAUUGCACAAUGGGGGAAACUCUGACGCAGCGACGCCGCGUGAGUGAAGAAGUAUCUCGGUACGUAAAGCUCUAUCAGUAGGGAAGAAAAUGACGGUACCUGACUAAGAAUCCCCGGCUAACUACGUGCCAGCAGCCGCGGUAAUACGUAGGGGGCAAGCGUUAUCCGGAUGUACUGGGUGUAAAGGGAGCGUAGACGGCAGCACAAGUCUGGAGUGAAAUCCCGUGGCUUAACCCCGGAACUGCAUUGGAAACUGUGCGGCUGGAGUGCAGUAGAGGUAAGCGGAAUUCCUGGUGUAGCGGUGAAAUGCGUAGAUAUUAGGAGGAACACCGGUGGCGAAGGCGGCUUACUGGACUGUAACUGACGUUGAGGCUCGAAAGCGUGGGGAGCAAACAGGAUUAGAUACCCUUGUAGUC